GAUGAACGCUGGCGGCGUGCUUAACACAUGCAAGUCGAACGGUGAAGGCGGAGCUUGCUCUUCUGGAUCAGUGGCGAACGGGUGAGUAACACGUGAGCGAUCCGCCCCUGACUGUGGGAUAAGCGCUGGAGACGGCGUCUAAUACAGUAUACGAGCUGCGAAGGCAUCUUCAGCAGCUGUAAAGAAUUUCGGUCAGGGAUGAGCGGGCGGCCUAUCAGCUUGUUGGUGAGGUAAUGGCUCACCAAGGCGUCGAGGGGUAGCCGGCCUGAGAGGGUGACCGGCCCCCAUGGGCCUGAGGCAGGGCCCAGACUCCAACGGGAGGCAGCGGUGGGGAGUCUUACACAGCGGCGGAAAGCGUGAUGAAGCAACGCCGCGUGAGGGAAGCCGGCUUGCGGGUUGUAAACCUCUUUUAGAAGGGCAGAAGCGAAAGUGACGGUACCUGCAGAAAAAGCGCCGGCUAACUACGUG
This 468-nucleotide ribosomal RNA is filed under the name uncultured bacterium. RNAcentral's name for it is "partial 16S ribosomal RNA". It matches the Rfam family "Bacterial small subunit ribosomal RNA", at positions 28 to 507 of the family's 1533-position model. The record is from RNAcentral.